CUUUACUGUAACCUGGAAUUGGGUUCGGGCUUUGCUUGCGCAGGAUAGGUGGGAGACGUUGAAGCGGUUCUUGUGGGAACUGUGGAGUCAACGGUGAGAUACCACUCUGGUGAGGCUAGAAUUCUAACCUUAGCCCCUCAACGGGGGUGAGGGACCGUUUCAGGCGGGCAGUUUGACUGGGGCGGUCGCCUCCUAAAAGGUAACGGAGGCGCGCAAUGGUGCUCUCAGGCUGGUUGGAAAUCAGCCGUAGAGUGUAAAGGCAUAAGAGCGCUUGACUGCGAGACAAACACGUCGAGCAGGGUGGAAACACGGCCUUAGUGAUCCGACGGCGCUGAGUGGAAGGGCCGUCGCUAAACGGAUAAAAGUUA
RNAcentral lists this ribosomal RNA (368 nucleotides) under uncultured organism. RNAcentral describes it as "bacterial LSU rRNA". It matches the Rfam family "Bacterial large subunit ribosomal RNA", at positions 2099 to 2465 of the family's 2925-position model. The record is from RNAcentral.